RNAcentral lists this small RNA (69 nucleotides) under Flavobacterium urumqiense. Its description in RNAcentral is "Flavo-1 RNA". It matches the Rfam family "Flavo-1 RNA". Lineage: Bacteria; Pseudomonadati; Bacteroidota; Flavobacteriia; Flavobacteriales; Flavobacteriaceae. The record is from RNAcentral.
GCCUAGCCCUGAUUGAAGAGUAAAUCCCACGCUUUUUUGCGUGGAUUGAAACGGAAAGCAGGAAAUAGC